Molecule: long non-coding RNA, 461 nt
Organism: Mastomys coucha (southern multimammate mouse)
Lineage: Eukaryota; Metazoa; Chordata; Mammalia; Rodentia; Muridae
Exons: 3
Source: RefSeq, a predicted model, not a curated record
AAAGGAAGGCACAAGCAUUUAUAAUAUCCUGUGCUAAGUAGGAACUGAAUAUUGUCAAGAAUGAAGCAGAACAGUCACAAGCCUUUUACCUCAUUUGGUAGAAGUGACUUCACAAAGGGAAUUUCAUUUGAACUGUGCUUUGAGAGAAGAUUACUGAGAAUGAACAGUCAAGAUACAAGAGAAUAAUGCCUAACAGAAAGUAGAGCAUGUAUAAGCGUGUAACAACAUGGAAUUAAAGACUGUAGUAAACUGAAGAAAGGAAGUGAGAAGCUACAAGAAAUGUACUCAGAGUAAACAAAAAGUAAAACAAGCUAACAGAUUUUGCAAACAUGGAGAAAGAUGAAAGCCCAGAUCAACAGCCAUGCAGCAGGCCAGAGACCAGGGUGUGAUGGACACGUACAUCACUGGGCAUGGACACACACAGGAAAACAGUGUACAAUAAUAAAAGGAGUUAUGCUAAA